CAGAACAAUGGAAGAGAGAACAGCAGCUUUGUGCAGCUACCCUCUCACUAGACUUGAUUUGUAGAAAACUAGAAGAACAUGGAGAAGGGACUUUCAAUCAAAAAGGAAAAGGUCCUGGCAAGCAAAAUCCUGAAGUCCCAAGAGAUGUUAACUACCUCACCUACUAGACCCUUGGGUAUUCCGAAGUGGAUGAAGAGAGGGCUGUAACAGGACCUCAGACCUUAGUAGGCCCUGAGACUUUAGCACAACUGACUCCAUGGUGGAAGUGCCAUUCAGGCUGUAAAACCCAGCAUGUAGACAGCACCAGCUGCCAAAACUAAAACAAAGCCUAAUCCAAAGUCCAUAGUUCUGGAAAAGACUCUAAAUGCACCAACCUUUCCUUUUGACUUCUAUACUUCUGUUUCUAGCUAACUGUGCUUGUUAACUGAAGUGUUAACAGAACAUGGAUUUUGUACUUAAAAGCUCACUCUGAGAAAGGCUUGGGGCCACACUUGGAUCUUGAACACCUCGUGUAGUCACUGACCAGUUAAUAAAGACUUUCUAUUGGCUUAAAGCCAUCUCUCAUGACAAGUUCCAUUUAUCCUCUUCUCUUGCAAGUGAGUGUGAAGAGUCCCUGGGGCUUCAGUAACCCAUGCCUGCUAGAAGGAAAAGCCAGGGCCUUCCUGCCUUUCACACAUCUGGAUGCUCUGGUCUCUAACAGCUUCUCUACUGUUACCGUCUGUCAGACAGCACAAGUAUGAUACUGCAGUCUGGUUGUUUUCCACCAAGUUCAGCUCACCCCAGGGCCUUUGCACUUGCUGCCCCCCCCCCAUUCCUGGAGCAACACACUUGCAUGAUCCAGGGUUGGCUCCUUCCCGCCAGUUCAUACAUUACCUCUAUGCAGAGACUGUACAGCUAUCACAGAGAAAUGUGCAUCUCCCCUUGGUCUCUUUCAAAUGUUCUAAGUUUGCACAGCUCUCUGAGCAACCAGGAAGUUCAUCUAUUUGCUUGUUUGCCUUCUGUUCCUCACACUAGAAACCAUUCCCUGGCUCAGUCCCUGUGUCUUCAUCACUACCCUCCCCAGAGGCUGUACCUCUCUGCUCAGCACAUGCUAGGAGAAGAACACACACCUGCAGAGUGGAGAAAGUGGCCGAGCUCAAACAGCCGGUCUGUAAGGUAAGGUCUCUGCAGAUGGUGACAUCAUCUGGAGGAGUGAUUUAUUGGAUUCAUUAACCCUGCGGCAUUGUUCACAGCACCAGACAUACCGACAGAGAACUAGGUGAUGUCUGAGAACUUCAGAUCCAAGUCUGUAACACUGGAAGAUGUGGAGCCAAGAAGAUUACAGAAAUCUAAUGAGGGGC
Molecule: long non-coding RNA, 1340 nt
Organism: Mus musculus (house mouse)
Lineage: Eukaryota; Metazoa; Chordata; Mammalia; Rodentia; Muridae
Product: predicted gene, 35468
Exons: 4
Source: RefSeq, a predicted model, not a curated record